CCUGGCUCAGGACGAACGCUGGCGGCGUGCUUCCCCCCUUCCCUUCUAACGGUGAAGGGAUCAGCUUGCUGGUUCUGGAUGAGUGGCGAACGGGUGAGUAACACGUGAGUAACCUGCCCCCUUCUUCUGGAUAACCGCAUGAAAGUGUGGCUAAUACGGGAUAUUCUGGGUCUGUCGCAUGAUGGGUCUGGGAAAGAUAUUGUUUCGGUGGGGGAUGGGCUCGCGGCCUAUCAGCUUGUUGGUGGGGUGAUGGCCUACCAAGGCGGUGACGGGUAGCCGGCCUGAGAGGGUGGACGGUCACACUGGGACUGAGACACGGCCCAGACUCCUACGG
RNAcentral lists this ribosomal RNA (334 nucleotides) under uncultured bacterium. Its description in RNAcentral is "bacterial SSU rRNA". It matches the Rfam family "Bacterial small subunit ribosomal RNA", at positions 18 to 344 of the family's 1533-position model. The record is from RNAcentral.